GAGUGGGCGUCACGCAAGCAUCGGGCGCGUGGCGGGACGGCGCGUCCCGUGUCUCGCGUCUACGGGCUACGGGACGAGACGGGCGCGGGCUCGGGACGGGAUGAUCGUUGCAACGGGUCCCGCGGAGGACCCGUCCCUCCGGGACGCGUAGUGGAUGGUCUAAAUCUAGUAUGUCUUUACUGUACUGAAUGACCUAAUCUUUUUCCAUUGGGAGUGUAUGUGGCUUACUGGAAAAAAUAGAUUAGGUUCUUCUCAGCAAUAAAUAGCUUUAAGUUUCGUGCUUCAUGCUGAUGACAUCCCUCGUAAAUGUUUGUUUUCAUUGCUGAAGAAACGAGAGAAGCCUAGGCAACUGCAAGGUUCCUGUGGGUCAUUGGAUCUUGAGAUGGAGAAUCUUUUGGAAGACUCAGUUAUGUGCUACUCAUCCUCGCAGCAUUGCUGAAAGGGUACUAGAAGACUAGCUAAACCCUAGUUCAACUACAAGACAAGUCCAACAACAUACAAUAAUGCAUAACUGAUUCAUGCUCCUCAUUAACUCUCGGAUGUACAAGAUGCAGGUAGGGUGCACAAGCUUAUCAAGACCCUUUGACCAAGCACCCUUUCCACGUUGGAUAAGUGAGAUGAGAACCCAUGGCUUUACUACAUGAUGUGUCUUCUUUCUGCUUUACACUAAGAAGUAGACGUAGAUAUUUUGAUGUGGGGACUUAUGAUGUGAAUUGAUGUCUUACUAUAUAACUGGUGAACUUUAUUCAAGUCAAAAUUGGAUAUCUUUCAGCAUUCGUAUUGGAGUGCUGUAGAACUAAUCCUUUCGCUUUUUAAAUGAGCAACUGCCUAAAUGAUUUAACUCCAUUCCUUUUACAAACUGGUUUCCAAAUUCUCAAGAGUUUAAAACUGUUAUGAUGCUGUCUUUUGAUUUUACUGUUUGCAGCAAACGAACACUGCAGACAUGUUAGAAGAAGCCGUAGCUUAUGUCAAACCUGCAGAUAGAGAUCCAGGAUCUAGAGCAUCAAAAGAAAUACAGAUGCUCAACAAAUGAUUGAACAAUUGGAUUGGACAUUGUACAGUGAAGAUACAAAGUUAUGAUUUUUGCUCGAUGCUCGAUGCUAGUUUCCACUGCUUGUUUGAGCUGUAACAUAUUGUACAAAGUGGUACUAGUAGAAGUCUGAUGUGCAAAACCAGUAGCUGCCAUCUCUCAUGAAUAAUCACUACUGCCGCUGUUAGAG
Molecule: long non-coding RNA, 1220 nt
Organism: Salvia splendens (bonfire salvia)
Lineage: Eukaryota; Viridiplantae; Streptophyta; Magnoliopsida; Lamiales; Lamiaceae
Exons: 3
Source: RefSeq, a predicted model, not a curated record